UGGCCCGGCUUUCCCCCUAGGCGUCUCGAAAAUGAGGGUGCGGAGCAGUGGGCUUGGCCGCUGAGAAGCCUGCCUGAGGAGGGGGUGCCUUCCAGCGACACUUGGAACAACCUCUAGGAAAUGGGAACCCAAACUGCACGAGCCUCUGCUCUGACUUCAUGGCCAUUUGGAAAGCCAGUCCUUCCCAUGGCCAUUGUUGAGACAUUGUCCUGCCCUCUUUUCCAUUUUGGGGGACCCCAAGUUUGCAGGGAAACCCUAAUCCUGAUCAGAACCCUGUGGCUGAGUUACCUGCCCUGGACUCAGCCAAUCAGGAGGGAGAAGAGAGCAAGGAGGCUGGGAAGGCUGCUCAGUGAGGACCCUCCUGGGUCCACGGGGGGUGACCACCCCAGCCAUGGCCUGUGUUCAGAUGCCCAAGGAUUCGAGAACCUCUGGUAUAUCCAGAUAUCACAAAGUAACUGUGAAGUUGUUUCAACUCUUUGAUGGCAUGAUUGAUGGGUCCCCAAGAGUCCCAUUCUGAAACAGGAAUGAAGAUUCCCUGCUCCCUGCGUGGAGACUCACAAGCAAUAAAAUUGCAAAUAAUGCCCAGAAGCUGGAAAGUAAACUUUAAGAAUUGUAGAUGGAAUCAUGCCCACUGUGGUCUAUGUAUGCCAAUGCCAAAGCCCAUGCACCAAAGGAAAAACAGAGAGCGAGAGAAACGCCACGCUACUGGAAGGAAAAAAUAGGACUAAGGUCCGAAGGCACCACCCUUAGAACCCUGGGACCGGUUCUGAUCACAGACAACCAGAUGGCUGGAUGGAUACCUGCGCCUCUCCAAUCCCACGGGACCCCUGAUCCUCUCCAGACUGUUAAGGGUCAGUCCUCAUCACAGCCAACAGUGAGACGAGGUAGUGUAUGCCAGGUGUCCCAAGCGGGGUCUGGACAGUGCAGGCCAGGGGUCAGGGAAGGCAUCCCUGGGAGGGGAGGCUCGAGCUGGAUCUUGGAUGACGGGCAGCACCACUGAAAGGGCAGUGGCAUGAAGAUGAGAAUACAUUUGAUGUGUUUGACAGUCUGUGAUGCCACCAGCCAGCUGGAGUCCCUGGAGAAGGCUGGGGAGAAAAGGGACAAGGUUUAAGUCAAUUAAAUCUUUGACUUAACUGGGGGUUACUCUACAAACUGCACAUAACCUACUUGACAUUAAAUAUAGUCGCUAGGCAUUUAAAUUGUAUGUUUGUAUAGAAGGCCAUGAUUUGGGGGCUGAAUUCUUCUUGUCCAGAGCUGUGAGGGGAGAUGUGGGAAUUGGGAGUCAUAGACUGUUAGACAGAAAGAGGUUCUGAUGGAUCAGCAUCAUCACUUUAUAUAUCUAUAGGCUUAGACAGCCUAACUGGGUUC
Long non-coding RNA from Choloepus didactylus (southern two-toed sloth), 1368 nucleotides. RefSeq lists it as uncharacterized. The record is from RefSeq and is a predicted model, not a curated record. NCBI's taxonomy places the organism in Eukaryota, Metazoa, Chordata, Mammalia, Pilosa, Megalonychidae. The transcript is spliced from 4 exons.